Molecule: unclassified non-coding RNA, 419 nt
Filed under: Hevea brasiliensis (rubber tree)
Lineage: Eukaryota; Viridiplantae; Streptophyta; Magnoliopsida; Malpighiales; Euphorbiaceae
Source: RNAcentral
AGCAAACUUUGAAUAUUUCUUGCAUUCUUUAAGGAGUUUAAUGAGAGGGGAAACUGCUUUAGCAUCCACAAUUGGAAGAGAAUUCUUAGUACAGGAUGAGAGGUUGUGUAAAGCUGUCACAGCAUCAACUUUUCCUUGAACAGUGCCAGAGUUCAGAAUCUGAACCAGAAGAGGUGCAGCACCUGAAGCUGCAAUGGUUGGCUUGUUAGGGAUAACGUUAAAAUUGCAGCAGCGGCUAACUCCCUUAAACUACUAUUCUGGAACUUGAGCAACUCCACAAGUGGGGGAAUGGCACCAGCUGUCACUAUCUUGACCUUGUUUCGUUGAUUUCUAACGGCUAGAUUGAGGAGAGCGAGAAGAGAGGCUUGACGGGCGUCGAGGUUAGGAGAAAGAAGCAUGAAAACGAGGGGCUGAAUGAC